RNAcentral lists this ribosomal RNA (466 nucleotides) under uncultured bacterium. RNAcentral describes it as "partial 16S ribosomal RNA". It matches the Rfam family "Bacterial small subunit ribosomal RNA", at positions 29 to 506 of the family's 1533-position model. The record is from RNAcentral.
ACGCACGCUGGCGGCGUGCUUCACACAUGCAAGUCGAACGGAAAGGCCCUGCUUUUGUGGGGUGCUCGAGUGGCGAACGGGUGAGUAACACGUGAGUAACCUGCCCUUGACUUUGGGAUAACUUCAGGAAACUGGGGCUAAUACCGGAUAGGAGCUCCUGCUGCAUGGUGGGGGUUGGAAAGUUUCGGCGGUUGGGGAUGGACUCGCGGCUUAUCAGCUUGUUGGUGGGGUAGUGGCUUACCAAGGCUUUGACGGGUAGCCGGCCUGAGAGGGUGACCGGCCACAUUGGGACUGAGAUACGGCCCAGACUCCUACGGGAGGCAGCAGUGGGGAAUAUUGCACAAUGGGCGGAAGCCUGAUGCAGCAACGCCGCGUGCGGGAGGACGGCCUUCGGGUUGUAAACCGCUUUCGCCUGUGACGAAGCGUGAGUGACGGUAAUGGGUAAAGAAGCACCGGCUAACUACGU